UUUUUAAAUCUACCUGGAGGAGCUUGCUAUUUAACCGAUAACCCACGAUACACCUCACCAAUCUUUGAAAAAUCAAUCUGUAUACCAUCGUCAUCAGCCUACCUCCUAAGAGAAGUACACGAAAAGAAUAAACACUUCAUUACGUCAGAUCGAGGUGCAGUUAAUAGAUUGGGGAUAAGCGAGCUACAAUACUAUAAUAAUAACCUAAUAUUAAUACCACUAUAAAUAAACCCAUGAAACAGGUUUUGAAAUAGAAUUCAGAAGUAAUAAAAAAAAGAAAAAUUUUAUGAAAUAAUAAGCUCUAAAAUACGU
Molecule: ribosomal RNA, 312 nt
Filed under: Pteraster militaris
Lineage: Eukaryota; Metazoa; Echinodermata; Asteroidea; Velatida; Pterasteridae
Description: partial 12S ribosomal RNA
Source: RNAcentral